GUGCCAGCAGCCGCGGUAAUACGUAGGGUGCGAGCGUUGUCCGGAAUUAUUGGGCGUAAAGGGCUCGUAGGCGGUUUGUCGCGUCGGGAGUGAAAACCCAGGGCUUAACUCUGGGCUUGCUUUCGAUACGGGCAGACUAGAGGUAUGCAGGGGAGAACGGAAUUCCUGGUGUAGCGGUGAAAUGCGCAGAUAUCAGGAGGAACACCGGUGGCGAAGGCGGUUCUCUGGGCAUUACCUGACGCUGAGGAGCGAAAGUGUGGGGAGCGAACAGGAUUAGAUACCCUUGUAGUCC
RNAcentral lists this ribosomal RNA (292 nucleotides) under uncultured bacterium. RNAcentral's name for it is "partial 16S ribosomal RNA". It matches the Rfam family "Bacterial small subunit ribosomal RNA", at positions 505 to 796 of the family's 1533-position model. The record is from RNAcentral.